UAGGGAAUCUUCGGCAAUGGACGAAAGUCUGACCGAGCAACGCCGCGUGAGUGAAGAAGGUUUUCGGAUCGUAAAACUCUGUUGUUAGCGAAGAACAAGUACGUUAGUAACUGAACGUCCCCUGACGGUAUCUAACCAGAAAGCCACGGCUAACUACGUGCCAGCAGCCGCGGUAAUACGUAGGUGGCAAGCGUUGUCCGGAUUUAUUGGGCGUAAAGCGAGCGCAGGCGGUUUCUUAAGUCUGAUGUGAAAGCCCCCGGCUCAACCGGGGAGGGUCAUUGGAAACUGGGAGACUUGAGUGCAGAAGAGGAGAGUGGAAUUCCAUGUGUAGCGGUGAAAUGCGUAGAUAUAUGGAGGAACACCAGUGGAGAAGGCGGCUCUCUGGUCUGUAACUGACGCUGAGGCUCGAAAGCGUGGCGAGCAAACAGG
Molecule: ribosomal RNA, 429 nt
Filed under: Gemmatimonadota bacterium
Lineage: Bacteria; Pseudomonadati; Gemmatimonadota
Description: Gemmatimonadetes bacterium partial 16S ribosomal RNA
Rfam family: Bacterial small subunit ribosomal RNA
Source: RNAcentral